CCUACGGGUGGCUGCAGUGGGGAAUAUUGGACAAUGGGCGAAAGCCUGAUCCAGCCAUGCCGCGUGUGUGAAGAAGGCCUUCGGGUUGUAAAGCACUUUCAGUGGGGAAGAAAGCCUUGGGGCUAAUACCCUCGAGGAAGGACAUCACCCACAGAAGAAGCACCGGCUAACUCCGUGCCAGCAGCCGCGGUAAUACGGAGGGUGCGAGCGUUAAUCGGAAUUACUGGGCGUAAAGCGCGCGUAGGCGGUCUGAUAAGCCGGUUGUGAAAGCCCCGGGCUCAACCUGGGAACGGCAUCCGGGACUGUCAGGCUAGAGUGCAGGAGAGGAGGGUAGAAUUCCCGGUGUAGCGGUGAAAUGCGUAGAGAUCGGGAGGAAUACCAGUGGCGAAGGCGGCCUUCUGGACUGACACUGACGCUGAGGUGCGAAAGCGUGGGUAGCAAACAGGAUUAGAUACCCCAGUAGUC
This 465-nucleotide ribosomal RNA is filed under the name Vreelandella stevensii. RNAcentral's name for it is "partial 16S ribosomal RNA". It matches the Rfam family "Bacterial small subunit ribosomal RNA", at positions 338 to 795 of the family's 1533-position model. Lineage: Bacteria; Pseudomonadati; Pseudomonadota; Gammaproteobacteria; Oceanospirillales; Halomonadaceae. The record is from RNAcentral.